Long non-coding RNA from Phacochoerus africanus (Common warthog), 365 nucleotides. RefSeq lists it as uncharacterized. The record is from RefSeq and is a predicted model, not a curated record. The transcript is spliced from 2 exons. Lineage: Eukaryota; Metazoa; Chordata; Mammalia; Artiodactyla; Suidae.
GCGGGUCCUGCACGCGGGCGUGCGGCGCCACGAGGUGGGACACGUCCAGCAGCCAGUCAGGGCCCAGCAGAAAAUGAAGCUGAGAACUUCAAGCACUUGCCUGGGCUCCCACAGCAGGAACGCGGUGGAGCUGGGAGUCAAAGCCCAGGCACCAACCACUACAGGAGCCUGCUGUCCAUCAUGCCCCCUGUAGGCUUCACUAGACUGUGGGUCUCCCCUCUUCUGCUGGGUGGCACCUUCCUCCUUCAGGGCCAAGAGGGAAUGUCGCCUCCUUUUUAAGGAAGCCCUCCUUGAUGGUUUGCCCUCCCACCAGUCCCCUCAGUCUUUUGCACCCCUGCUUGCCUCCUCUAAAGUAGUUAGUUAUC